CCUACGGGUGGCAGCAGUGAGGAAUAUUGGUCAAUGGGCUUACGCCUGAACCAGCCAAGUCGCGUGAGGGAAGACUGCCCUAUGGGUUGUAAACCUCUUUUGUCAGGGAGCAACGCCGGCUACGUGUAGCCGGACUGAGAGUACCUGAAGAAAAAGCAUCGGCUAACUCCGUGCCAGCAGCCGCGGUAAUACGGAGGAUGCGAGCGUUAUCCGGAUUUAUUGGGUUAAAAGGGUGCGUAGGCGGACUGGAAAGUCAGCGGUAAAAUCGAGAGGCUCAACCUCUUUCCGCCGUUGAAACUGUCGGUCUUGAGUGGGCGAGAAGUAUGCGGAAUGCGUGGUGUAGCGGUGAAAUGCAUAGAUAUCACGCAGAACUCCGAUUGCGAAGGCAGCAUACCGGCGCCCGACUGACGCUGAGGCACGAAAGCGUGGGUAUCGAACAGGAUUAGAUACCCUUGUAGUC
This 460-nucleotide ribosomal RNA is filed under the name uncultured bacterium. Its description in RNAcentral is "partial 16S ribosomal RNA". It matches the Rfam family "Bacterial small subunit ribosomal RNA", at positions 338 to 795 of the family's 1533-position model. The record is from RNAcentral.